RNAcentral lists this non-coding RNA (193 nucleotides) under Paenibacillus swuensis. RNAcentral describes it as "Lysine sequence". It matches the Rfam family "Lysine riboswitch aptamer". From Rfam's summary of the family: Riboswitches are metabolite binding domains within certain messenger RNAs that serve as precision sensors for their corresponding targets. Allosteric rearrangement of mRNA structure is mediated by ligand binding, and this results in modulation of gene expression. This family includes riboswitches that sense lysine in a number of genes involved in lysine metabolism, including lysC. The record is from Rfam by way of RNAcentral. Lineage: Bacteria; Bacillati; Bacillota; Bacilli; Caryophanales; Paenibacillaceae.
UGGUGAGGUAGAGGUCGCGGUAUUUAGGAGUAGUUUGGCGGAGGCUUUCGAGACAGCCCGUGAAACCGAAUGAAAGGAAAUACUGCCGAAGUCUGUAUGUCUCUCUCGAGCAUGCGGGCUGGGGCCGUUCCCGAAAGGGACGGAACUGUCACAUGUGUACUACCUAGUACAGAUGUGUUGAGCUAUCUUGCAC